UACAGAGGGUGCAAGCGUUAAUCGGAGUAACUGGGCGUAAAGGGCGCGUAGGCGGGAUAAUAAGUUUCAAGUAAAAACCCUGAGCUUAACUGAGGGAUGAAUUGGGAUACUAUUAUUCUAGAGAGACUUAGAGGGUAGUGGAAUUCUCGGUGUAGCGGUGAAAUGCGUAGAUAUCGGGAAGAACAUCGGUGGCGAAGGCGGCUACCUGGAAGUUUACUGACGCUGAGGCGCGAAAGCAUGGGUAGCGAACAGG
Molecule: ribosomal RNA, 253 nt
Filed under: uncultured bacterium
Lineage: Bacteria
Description: partial 16S ribosomal RNA
Rfam family: Bacterial small subunit ribosomal RNA
Source: RNAcentral